This 497-nucleotide ribosomal RNA is filed under the name uncultured bacterium. RNAcentral's name for it is "partial 16S ribosomal RNA". It matches the Rfam family "Bacterial small subunit ribosomal RNA", at positions 28 to 507 of the family's 1533-position model. The record is from RNAcentral.
GAUGAACGCUGGCGGCGUGCCUAAUACAUGCAAGUCGAGCGAACAGACGAGGAGCUUGCUCCUCUGACGUUAGCGGCGGACGGGUGAGUAACACGUGGAUAACCUACCUAUAAGACUGGGAUAAAUUCGGGAAAUCGGAGCUAAUACCGGAUAAUAUAUUGAACCGCAUGGUUCAAUAGUGAAAGACGGUUUUGCUGCCACUUAUAGAUGGAUCCGCGCCGCAUUAGCUAGUUGGUAAGGUAACGGCUUACCAAGGCAACGAUGCGUAGCCGACCUGAGAGGGUGAUCGGCCACACUGGAACUGAGACACGGUCCAGACUCCUACGGGAGGCAGCAGUAGGGAAUCUUCCGCAAUGGGCGAAAGCUUGACGGAGCAACGCCGCGUGAGUGAUGAAGGUCUUCGGAUCGUAAAACUCUGUUAUUAGGGAAGAACAAAUGUGUAAGUAACUAUGCACGUCUUGACGGUACCUAAUCAGAAAGCCACGGCUAACUACGUG